CGCGUAGGUGGCUUGCCAAGCGUGUGGUGAAAGCCCGGAGCUCAACUCCGGGUCUGCCAUGCGAACUGGCAGGCUUGAGCACGGUAGAGGCCAAUGGAAUUCCGGGUGUAGCGGUGGAAUGCGUAGAGAUCCGGAAGAACACCGGUGGCGAAGGCGGUUGGCUGGGCCGUAGCUGACACUGAGGCGCGACAGCGUGGGGAGCAAACAGGAUUAGAUACCCUGGUAGUCCACGCCGUAAACGAUGGGCACUAGGUCCUUGGGGGAGCGACCCUGUGAGGGCCGGCGCUAACGCAUUAAGUGCCCCGCCUGGGGAGUACGGCCGCAAGGCUGAA
This 332-nucleotide ribosomal RNA is filed under the name uncultured Gemmatimonas sp. RNAcentral's name for it is "bacterial SSU rRNA". It matches the Rfam family "Bacterial small subunit ribosomal RNA", at positions 568 to 898 of the family's 1533-position model. Lineage: Bacteria; Pseudomonadati; Gemmatimonadota; Gemmatimonadia; Gemmatimonadales; Gemmatimonadaceae. The record is from RNAcentral.